UCGAGCGGAUGAGAGGAGCUUGCUCUUCGAUUCAGCGGCGGACGGGUGAGUAAUGCCUAGGAAUCUGCCUAGUAGUGGGGGACAACGUUUCGAAAGGAACGCUAAUACCGCAUACGUCCUACGGGAGAAAGUGGGGGAUCUUCGGACCUCACGCUAUUAGAUGAGCCUAGGUCGGAUUAGCUAGUUGGUAGGGUAAAGGCCUACCAAGGCGACGAUCCGUAACUGGUCUGAGAGGAUGAUCAGUCACACUGGAACUGAGACACGGUCCAGACUCCUACGGGAGGCAGCAGUGGGGAAUAUUGGACAAUGGGCGAAAGCCUGAUCCAGCCAUGCCGCGUGUGUGAAGAAGGCCUUCGGGUCGUAAAGCACUUUAAGUUGGGAGGAAGGGCUCAUAGCGAAUACCUGUGAGUUUUGACGUUACCAACAGAAUAAGCACCGGCUAACUUCGUGCCAGCAGCCGCGGUAAUACGAAGGGUGCAAGCGUUAAUCGGAAUUACUGGGCGUAAAGCGCGCGUAGGUGGCUUGAUAAGUUGGAUGUGAAAUCCCCGGGCUCAACCUGGGAACUGCAUCCAAAACUGUCUGGCUAGAGUGCGGUAGAGGGUAGUGGAAUUUCCAGUGUAGCGGUGAAAUGCGUAGAUAUUGGAAGGAACACC
This 653-nucleotide ribosomal RNA is filed under the name Pseudomonas oryzihabitans. RNAcentral's name for it is "bacterial SSU rRNA". It matches the Rfam family "Bacterial small subunit ribosomal RNA", at positions 62 to 710 of the family's 1533-position model. The record is from RNAcentral. Lineage: Bacteria; Pseudomonadati; Pseudomonadota; Gammaproteobacteria; Pseudomonadales; Pseudomonadaceae.